Molecule: ribosomal RNA, 556 nt
Filed under: Streptococcus thermophilus
Lineage: Bacteria; Bacillati; Bacillota; Bacilli; Lactobacillales; Streptococcaceae
Description: bacterial SSU rRNA
Rfam family: Bacterial small subunit ribosomal RNA
Source: RNAcentral
GGGGGGCACAGUAGGGAAUCUUCGGCAAUGGGGGCAACCCUGACCGAGCAACGCCGCGUGAGUGAAGAAGGUUUUCGGAUCGUAAAGCUCUGUUGUAAGUCAAGAACGGGUGUGAGAGUGGAAAGUUCACACUGUGACGGUAGCUUACCAGAAAGGGACGGCUAACUACGUGCCAGCAGCCGCGGUAAUACGUAGGUCCCGAGCGUUGUCCGGAUUUAUUGGGCGUAAAGCGAGCGCAGGCGGUUUGAUAAGUCUGAAGUUAAAGGCUGUGGCUCAACCAUAGUUCGCUUUGGAAACUGUCAAACUUGAGUGCAGAAGGGGAGAGUGGAAUUCCAUGUGUAGCGGUGAAAUGCGUAGAUAUAUGGAGGAACACCGGUGGCGAAAGCGGCUCUCUGGUCUGUAACUGACGCUGAGGCUCGAAAGCGUGGGGAGCGAACAGGAUUAGAUACCCUGGUAGUCCACGCCGUAAACGAUGAGUGCUAGGUGUUGGAUCCUUUCCGGGAUUCAGUGCCGCAGCUAACGCAUAAGCACUCCGCCUUGGGAGAACCCCGAAAGG